Molecule: non-coding RNA, 195 nt
Filed under: Actinomycetes bacterium
Lineage: Bacteria; Bacillati; Actinomycetota; Actinomycetes
Description: 6S RNA
Rfam family: 6S / SsrS RNA
About the family: E. coli 6S RNA was the first non coding RNA to be sequenced, but its function was unknown until recently. It consists of 184 nucleotides that fold into an extended hairpin structure with a large single-stranded internal bulge. The 6S RNA specifically associates with RNA polymerase holoenzyme containing the sigma70 specificity factor.
Source: RNAcentral
GUAUCCCUGCGGUGUGCGUGCUCCCGACCGAUAUGUUUUGGGCCAACACCAACACAUAGGGAGCCCAACCUCAGUGGGGGGACGACAUGCCCUGCCAGUGGCUGGCCUGGGGACGUCGGUAAGCCUGCGGGAGGCACCCACCUGCGUGCGAGCGGGUUCCAAAACGUCGGGGGCGCACGGCAUUGCGGGGUCAAC